Molecule: unclassified non-coding RNA, 268 nt
Filed under: Hevea brasiliensis (rubber tree)
Lineage: Eukaryota; Viridiplantae; Streptophyta; Magnoliopsida; Malpighiales; Euphorbiaceae
Source: RNAcentral
GUUUUGUUCAAGGUUUCGUCUUCGUUGUCCCAUGCCAUUCUGAAAAAUUACCCCAACGCACAUAUUCUCAUCCCUUUUCGUUUGGUAAAAAUGAAAAAAAAAAUAAGUAAUGAAAAAAAAAAUUGUUCAAGUUCGUGCAAGAUUUUUCAUGGGUGGGUCCUGCUGCUUUAUUUUAUUAAUAUAGUUGUUUUGUGGAGUCUUCUUUUCAUUAAAGAUCAAUACAGUAAGUUGUAAUGUACUGAUCCUACUUGAUCUUCUACAUGAUGCG